AAAGAAUUACGAAAAAUCCUCGGAAUUUCUAUGAAAAGGAGAGUCAAGCGCGCUUGCGCGUUUUCCUUUUGUAUUUUAGAAACUUAAUUGAUUGCUUUGAAAGUUUCAUCUCUCUCUAGCUCUCUUUUGCUUCAAUGUUACUACAGUAUUUGUCUUCUUUUUCUUCCUCUAUAUAUAUAUAUAUAUAUGCAAUGUCUAACCCAGAAAUAUUCCUUCUAUCAAUCUGCAAUCUCUCCUUUCCCACCCCCCAAAAAAAAAAAAAAAAAAUCUGUUAUGUGCUGUCUCUCUUAUGCCUACACUACUACAUAUAAAUACAACCAGCCAAUGAUGCAGCAAAUUAAGAGUCUUCAGAAAGCAUAAAUUUUUAAGGUUCAUGUGGUGUUAACAAAUUUUAUGAAAUGUCUAUUUAUAUGCGGACGAUCAACAUUCCAGGUAAAAUAAAUUUUAUUUGAUUACCAAUGGCUUUUUGUUUUUUUGGAUAAAAUUGGAUGACGUAGUAUGUAUAUAAUUUUAUUAUUUGUUUGGUAUAUUAGAUUGGACUAAAUUUUAAAAUAGAAUUAUUUUUUAUUGUAUUUUUUAUAUUUAUCUUUGUAAAUUAAGCAAAAUCAAUAAAAUUGAAAAAGUCGUUAAAAUUAAUUAGUACUUAACUCUUUUUUCUUUUUCUUUUUUACAAUUGGAAAUUGAAAAAAUUUCAUUACAAUAAAAAAUCCCUUCUGAAACAACAUUGCUAUAUGUACCAACAUGUUUAUACAGAGAAACAUAUUUGCUUGGUUUUUCCAUAAAUGAUUGAGAUUUGAGAUUUGUGAGAUUUGGUUGCUUGACAAGAUUAGCAAGGUUUGUGGAGUUCUGCUUCUGGCUUCCUAUGGAUAUUUGUAGUAAGUUUUAUAUGUACCUAUUAUCUCUGUUCUAGAUAUUUUAAGACACACUUAAAUCUAUUAAUGGAGAUUCAUUUCAAACCAGAAAAAAUAAAAAAUAAAUAAGAAAAUAAAGAAUUAAUUAAUGUUGAACCAAAAAGAAAACAUAAAUAAAUAGAUAAAUGAAACAACAAAAAUUGAAAUAGAUAAAGACAUAAGAGAAAAGACUUACUUGGGAUUGAUUCAUAGCGGUAGCAAUGUGUAGCACAUUGUCCCCAUUGGCAUCCUUCAAGUUUAUAAUUUUCCUCUCAUCCAUUUCAGAGCCUUUAUGGCAAGCUCUUCGCAGUCUGCCUAGCAAGAAAUCAAAAGCGUCAUCAUUUUCAGUCUUAACAGCGAUAUGAAAGGCAGUUUCCUUUCGAUUAUUCGUAUCUUGGAUACUUUGUGGACAAAGUGAUACGAAUAUCGGUAAGAGAUGGAUCUUUUGUUGUUGAUGAUCCACAUCGAUUUCUUUUGCAGCCAGAUAAUGCAAAGGAGUUUCACCAUGCUUUCCUCGAAUGCGAAGAAGAUGAUCAGGAGCUUCGCAUCCUAGAAAUCGAUGCACCAUAUUGAUUUGCUUGUUGUAUAAGGCAAGGUGCAUGGGACUAUAUAAAUUUUGAUUUAGCUUCCAAGCAAAUGAUGGUUUCAAAUUCAUUA
Long non-coding RNA from Ziziphus jujuba (common jujube), 1547 nucleotides. RefSeq lists it as uncharacterized. Lineage: Eukaryota; Viridiplantae; Streptophyta; Magnoliopsida; Rosales; Rhamnaceae. The record is from RefSeq and is a predicted model, not a curated record. The transcript has 2 exons.